GAGUGGCACAAGCAAAUAAUUAAAACUUUUAACAACGGAUCUCUUGGUUCUGGCAUCGAUGAAGAACGCACCGAAAUGCGAUAAGUAAUGUGAAUUGCAGAAUUCAGUGAAUCAUCUAAUCUUUGAACGCACAUUGCGCCCGCCAGCAUUCUGGCGGGCAUGCCUGUUCGAGCGUCAUU
Molecule: ribosomal RNA, 179 nt
Filed under: Colletotrichum falcatum
Lineage: Eukaryota; Fungi; Ascomycota; Sordariomycetes; Glomerellales; Glomerellaceae
Description: 5.8S ribosomal RNA
Rfam family: 5.8S ribosomal RNA (bases 24-177)
About the family: 5.8S ribosomal RNA (5.8S rRNA) is a component of the large subunit of the eukaryotic ribosome. It is transcribed by RNA polymerase I as part of the 45S precursor that also contains 18S and 28S rRNA.
Source: RNAcentral